AUGAACGCUGGCGGCGUGCCUAAUACAUGCAAGUCGAGCGAACAGAUGAGGAGCUUGCUCCUCUGACGUUAGCGGCGGACGGGUGAGUAACACGUGGAUAACCUACCUAUAAGACUGGGAUAACUUCGGGAAACCGGAGCUAAUACCGGAUAAUAUAUUGAACCGCAUGGUUCAAUAGUGAAAGACGGUUUUGCUGUCACUUAUAGAUGGAUCCGCGCCGCAUUAGCUAGUUGGUAAGGUAACGGCUUACCAAGGCAACGAUGCGUAGCCGACCUGAGAGGGUGAUCGGCCACACGGGAACUGAGACACGGUCCAGACUCCUACGGGAGGCAGCAGUAGGGAAUCUUCCGCAAUGGGCGAAAGCCUGACGGAGCAACGCCGCGUGAGUGAUGAAGGUCUUCGGAUCGUAAAACUCUGUUAUUAGGGAAGAACAAAUGUGUAAGUAACUAUGCACGUCUUGACGGUACCUAAUCAGAAAGCCACGGCUAACUACGUG
Molecule: ribosomal RNA, 496 nt
Filed under: uncultured bacterium
Lineage: Bacteria
Description: partial 16S ribosomal RNA
Rfam family: Bacterial small subunit ribosomal RNA
Source: RNAcentral